RNAcentral lists this ribosomal RNA (497 nucleotides) under uncultured bacterium. RNAcentral describes it as "partial 16S ribosomal RNA". It matches the Rfam family "Bacterial small subunit ribosomal RNA", at positions 28 to 507 of the family's 1533-position model. The record is from RNAcentral.
GAUGAACGCUGGCGGCGUGCCUAAUACAUGCAAGUCGAGCGAACAGACGAGGAGCUUGCUCCUCUGACGUUAGCGGCGGACGGGUGAGUAACACGUGGAUAACCUACCUAUAAGACUGGGAUAACUUCGAGAAACCGGAGCUAAUACCGGAUAAUAUAUUGAACCGCAUGGUUCAAUAGUGAAAGACGGUUUUGCUGUCACAUAUAGAUGGAUCCGCGCCGCAUUAGCUAGUUGGUAAGGUAACGGCUUACCAAGGCAACGAUGCGUAGCCGACCUGAGAGGGUGAUCGGCCACACUGGAACUGAGACACGGUCCAGACUCCUACGGGAGGCAGCAGUAGGGAAUCUUCCGCAAUGGGCGAAAGCCUGACGGAGCAACGCCGCGUGAGUGAUGAAGGUCUUCGGAUCGUAAAACUCUGUUAUUAGGGAAGAACAAAUGUGUAAGUAACUAUGCACGUCUUGACGGUACCUAAUCAGAAAGCCACGGCUAACUACGUG